RNAcentral lists this long non-coding RNA (221 nucleotides) under Mytilus galloprovincialis (Mediterranean mussel). The record is from RNAcentral. Lineage: Eukaryota; Metazoa; Mollusca; Bivalvia; Mytilida; Mytilidae.
GUUGUUUUACAUUGUCAUUUCGGGCCUUUUAUAGAUGACUAUGUGGUAUGGGCUUUGCUCAUUGUUGAAUGCCGUACGGUUACCUGUAGCUGUUAAUUUCUGUGUCAGUUUGAUCUCUUGUGGAGAGUUGUAUGAUUUGCAAUCAUACCACAUCUUCUUUUUUAUAGUAACAUCACAGCUGGAUUUUCCUUACAGAAGUACAUACAUUAUAUCACCCCAAC